CAAGAAAUAGUUUAUUUAAAAAUAUUAAUUUUGGGAAUUAAUGAAAAAGAGGUUUCUUUUUUCUUGA
Molecule: transfer RNA, 67 nt
Filed under: Toxorhynchites sp. CL-2019
Lineage: Eukaryota; Metazoa; Arthropoda; Insecta; Diptera; Culicidae
Description: tRNA-Pro
Source: RNAcentral